AUUAUUUGGUUAUUUACAAAGACAGAUGCAAAUGACAGAAUCAUUCAUCUCAUUCCUCUGUGUGCCACUGUAGAUCAACUCAUUGUGACAUGCCAAGAUUCUUGAGUUGCUAUUCAUGAGUGGAUAAUGUCAAUCCCCAAAUCCCUGGAUUAUUUAAUGAAGAUCCCAGUGCCAUGAGUAAGAUGAUGAAGAUGUCACUGACACCAUACAGAUUAGUGCUGUCAUCAGCCUUGAGUAAAGGAGCAUCUUUUUGCAGCAAAUGUCAGUUAGUGCAGACAAUCACGGCCAAUGAAAGUGCUAAGAGCAAUCGAUUGUUGAGUGUCCAGCAUUAAAAAAGAUACCCAUAUCAACCUCCCUUCAAGACUUUGGGAACAUUAUGGAGAAGAAGGAGGCAAAAUAGUCUUGAUAUAUCCACGGGGAGCUUAAAGUCUAUUAGAGGAAAGGAAGUUAUUGUCCUCAGUAAUGUAGCUACAAUUAAGCUACUCAUGUUCUAAUAGAGUCACACCCAGGUCAGGUUGCUACACUCCCUAUUAGAAGAGUUAGACAACUACUCUGUGGGAAACAGAUACUUGAAGAUAACUUAAGCAAAAACAACAACAACAAAAUAACAACAAGAUACACAGCUUUUACAGCAUCAACAGAUGUUAAUCAACAGUCGAGGGUCUGGUUUCUUUUGAUUUUUCCAGGUGGAAAGAAUGUGUGUGAUCUUUAAAAGGGACAUAAGUGCUCUUGGUGCCAUCUUCAACUCUGAUUGAAUUUACUCUAAGGGUUAAUACCACAAAGGAUUGAUGAGUCAGGAGCUGAGUGAUAGUGGCCCUUUGAGAUGGGAACAAGAGCGUUGGUCUUUUCAAAGCUCUGAAGUGAUGAUGAGAGGCACAAGUGUCCUAACG
RNAcentral lists this long non-coding RNA (890 nucleotides) under Cricetulus griseus (Chinese hamster). Its description in RNAcentral is "lncRNA (ENSCGRG00015034345.1)". Lineage: Eukaryota; Metazoa; Chordata; Mammalia; Rodentia; Cricetidae. The record is from RNAcentral.